Molecule: ribosomal RNA, 423 nt
Filed under: uncultured bacterium
Lineage: Bacteria
Description: bacterial SSU rRNA
Rfam family: Bacterial small subunit ribosomal RNA
Source: RNAcentral
AAGACCUUGCGCUUUUGGAGCGGCCGAUGUCUGAUUAGCUUGUUGGUGAGGUAAAAGCUUGCCAAGGCUUCGAUCAGUAGCUGGUCUGAGAGGACGACCAGCCACACUGGGACUGAGACACGGCCCAGACUCCUACGGGAGGCAGCAGUGGGGAAUUUUGGACAAUGGGGGCAACCCUGAUCCAGCCAUGCCGCGUGAGUGAAGAAGGCCUUCGGGUUGUAAAGCUCUUUCAGCCGGAACGAAACGGUUACGGUUAAUACCCGUGACUACUGACGGUACCGGAAGAAGAAGCACCGGCUAACUACGUGCCAGCAGCCGCGGUAAUACGUAGGGUGCGAGUGUUAAUCGGAAUUACUGGGCGUAAAGCGUGCGCAGGUGGUUUUGUAAGUCAGAUGUGAAAUCCCCGGGCUCAACCUGGGAACU